This 530-nucleotide ribosomal RNA is filed under the name uncultured bacterium. RNAcentral's name for it is "bacterial SSU rRNA". It matches the Rfam family "Bacterial small subunit ribosomal RNA", at positions 355 to 896 of the family's 1533-position model. The record is from RNAcentral.
UGGGGAAUAUUGCACAAUGGGCGGAAGCCUGAUGCAGCGACGCCGCGUGGGGGAUGAAGGCCUUCGGGUUGUAAACUCCUUUCGACAGGGACGAAGCGUAAGUGACGGUACCUGUAUAAGAAGCACCGGCUAACUACGUGCCAGCAGCCGCGGUAAUACGUAGGGUGCGAGCGUUGUCCGGAAUUACUGGGCGUAAAGAGCUCGUAGGUGGUUUGUCGCGUCGUCUGUGAAAUUCCGGGGCUUAACUCCGGGCGCGCAGGCGAUACGGGCUGACUUGAGUGCUGUAGGGGAGACUGGAAUUCCUGGUGUAGCGGUGAAAUGCGCAGAUAUCAGGAGGAACACCGAUGGCGAAGGCAGGUCUCUGGGCAGUAACUGACGCUGAGGAGCGAAAGCAUGGGUAGCGAACAGGAUUAGAUACCCUGGUAGUCCAUGCCGUAAACGGUGGGCGCUAGGUGUAGGGGGCUUCCACGUCUUCUGUGCCGUAGCUAACGCAUUAAGCGCCCCGCCUGGGGAGUACGGCCGCAAGGCUA